This 462-nucleotide ribosomal RNA is filed under the name Salmonella enterica subsp. enterica serovar Oranienburg. RNAcentral's name for it is "partial 23S ribosomal RNA". It matches the Rfam family "Bacterial large subunit ribosomal RNA", at positions 1 to 503 of the family's 2925-position model. Lineage: Bacteria; Pseudomonadati; Pseudomonadota; Gammaproteobacteria; Enterobacterales; Enterobacteriaceae. RNAcentral also lists the same sequence under 1 other name. The record is from RNAcentral.
GUUGUAUAGUCAAGUAAUUAAGUGCAUGUGGUGGAUGCCUUGGCAGUCAGAGGCGAAGAAAGACGUGAUAGCCUGCGAAAAGCUCCGGGGAGGCGGCAAAUAUCCUGUGAUCCGGAGAUGUCUGAAUGGGGAAACCCACCGGCUAUAAGGUCGGUAUCAUAAACUGAAUACAUAGGUUUAUGAGGCGAACGCGGAGAAGUGAAACAUCUCAGUAUCCGUAGGAAAAGAAAUCAAUUGAGAUUCCCUCAGUAGCGGCGAGCGAAAGGGGAACAGCCCAUUAAGUCAUAUCAGUUUUAGUGGAAUGCUCUGGGAAGUGCAACCAUAGUGGGUGAUAGUCCUGUACACGAAAGGGCUGAUAUGAUGAUGUCGAGUAGGGCGAGGCACGUGAAACCUUGUCUGAAUAUAGGGGGACCAUCCUCUAAGGCUAAAUACUCCUGACUGACCGAUAGUGAACCAGUACCG